This is a long non-coding RNA of Cyprinus carpio carpio, 5009 nucleotides long. Lineage: Eukaryota; Metazoa; Chordata; Actinopteri; Cypriniformes; Cyprinidae. The record is from Ensembl.
CCCAAGUCCUCAGCAGUCAAUGACACUGACCCGUUCAAACUGCUUCUUAACGCGUACUUCACGCGUAUUUAGCAGGACUUCACGUGUAUUUAACAGGUUAAAUACACGUAUUUAACGCGCUGAUUUUUCAGGCGUAAACGACACGUAUUUAAUGCGUUAAAUACGUGUUUACGCGUGAAAUACGCAUAUUUAACGUGUUGUUUACACAUUAAAAUUCGCGUGUUUUAGACCCUCUGGGCCUUCCAUACUUGGACGUUGAUAUGAGGUUCAAAAUUUGACCGUCCGGCUACAACGUGCAGAACAGGUUCAGGAAAUCGACAUAACUUUUUUUUUUAUAUAUAUAUAUAUACAUAUAAACACAACAAAGCAAUCCUUUGAUUUCCGAUUUAAAUAUCGCAUGUACCCUAUAAUCUUAAGAAACUUUUGGGUGUUAAAAUGAUGUAAUAUAUAAAUGUUUAAAAACAUUAAACAUUUAUAAUUACAUAAUGUGACCAUAUAAAAUCUUACAUGGAUUUAUUUAUGGUAUGGUUUGUGGUAUUUUUCACUGGAGCAUUGACAGAAACAGCAGUUUACAUCUGUAUUAGAUCUAUAAAUUAAAUAUAGUUAAUUAAAGUUAAAUAUAUUAAAGUUUAAUAAAUUUAAAUAGAUAAUUAGAUUAAAAUAUUUCCUUUUCAAUAAUAAAUAUUUAACACAUAGAUUUAAAUUGGAUGAAAUAGUGCAUUUAAACGUGCGCUCGCCACUAGGGGCGUUAACGUGAUGUUACGUGAGUGACGUAAACGUGAGGGCAAAAAAAAAAAAACGUAAACGUGAUGGCCUAUGGUGAUGGCGCAAACAAUCACGAAGACGGAAGAAUAAUUCUGUUUAUUACAAAAGACUGAAGAUAUAACUACAGCUAUUCUUUAAUUUAUUUAUUUCUACGUUGAGGACACUUUAUAAACCUACAGAGAUACCUGACCAACGAACGACCUUCACAACGGGACAGAGCUAACAUAACGUUAACGGUUACUUGGAAAUUCAAACAGUAACGGAUCUGACAACUGUGCUGAGCCAAAGUUGGUGAAGAUGGAGAUGUUGUGACGACCAGGACAGUUCCUCCUAGCACACCAGACUCUGCUGUAUGUGGACGCCUGUCCACUAGCACUGGACAUUUACAACAUUUGGUGCCAGGGACCUCUUGCAGAGAAGAUUUUUCAAGGACACCCUCAGAAUUACAACAGAUUUUAAGGCUUGAAAUUAUUGUCCUGGAACUGCAGUUGUUGCUAACGGCGCGAUAUGAGAAACACCUCCACAUGUGCCCAGCGGAGAUGUUGUGCGUUUAUGCAAAAUAUGUGAGCUGAAUUCCUUCCAAACGCCGUAGAAGGCCACUGCCUGCAUUACCCGCCGGGUGUUCUCCCCAGGGUUUGGACCUCCAACGAGGCUUAAAUGAUGUGUCUGCAAGAUGGAAUACAUUUUCUAAAUAGUAUCGUCUUUUAUCUUUUCUUCAAGGGAGAGGAGUUCAUUGAUGGUGCCACACACUUCAAGGCUCAUCUCCUCUGCUUGCUGGCAAGUCCCAUCACCCAGGGCACGAGCAUAAAGUUCAUGCAUGGCUGCUAUUGUGCUCCUCAUUGCCUUCAUCUCACUCUCUAUGCUUACUAUUUUUUGAAUGAGGAGGCUAAGGAGGUGAUCUGAGGAGAAUCAAUAUUGAUUCGUUAAAAUUAAGGACCUGGUUUAACCAGCAGUGGAGAGAGUCAUGAAGGAGAAUCACCAAAUAACACUGACAGCGAAGGGUGUCUCUGGGUGGAGUUGGCCUUAUUGGCACAUCAGGCAUGGGAAGCUCUCCACAUCUUGAUGGCAUCUUUAUUGAUUGAUUGAAGGUGGUUUGCUUGUUAGGUUCAUACCUUCAUAAGAGCUGCUGAGACACACCGGUCGUCUUUUCCUUUUGGGGGUGUCAUCACAGCUCUCAAGUGAAGAUUGCACAGCUGCUUUUUUCGACCACUUUUUUGCUCUUUCAUAGUCAUCUUAAGCAAAAAUAUGCCUCCUAGCAACCUGAAUCAGUGGGUUUCUACCAGAACGCACCAUCCUCUUGAGUGUUUGCAGGUAGUUUUCAAACAUGAAGGCACUACAAUUUUCCAGACCACCGAAGUUUUCGGCAUCUUUUGCUAUGUGCAGCAUGGCAUGUGUGUUGUAAACAAGGAACUCUUGUCCAUAAAGAAUCCGACCUUUUCCACAAAAUAAUGCAGCAGUUCAUCUGCAUAUUUCGAGUGUUCCUGCACAAGACUUGGACAUACCAAGAUUAUCAUGGCCACGCUAAAGGAAAGGAAGUGCAAAUACAUUUCAUCAGGCAGUAUUCCCUUCAACACAAUCUUCCCAGUGUAAAGAAGGAACUGACGAAACUCAGUCGCUUUCCACCUGUCCAGUUCCUCAAGACCUCUAGGCUUUCGCACAAAAGUAGAUGGGAUGCAUUUCCGAAGAGACCGCAGUCUUGCACUAAUCUCUGUGAUUUGGCUGGCUGAAACACUCACAACUCUGUCUCCUCUGGUCCAGAUGUGCAGGAGUCUUUUCAUUACACCUAGACAAGCCUGGUGCAUGUAAUCAAUGGGAAAACUCUGCACCAUGUCUAUGGGGAGGUGAGACAGAGUGAAUCCCAUGAUUCAUCAGAUGAGCCAGUUCCCUUACUGUGUCUUCCAAAAAGCCAAGAUCUGUUGGUCGACUUAGACUGCUUGUCAGAGCCGUGGGGAAAAUGGUGACAGGGUCUAACAUGACUGCACAAAGAACUGGCCACAUACAUGUUUUGGAACUCUUGUACAGUGGUCAGAAGCCGAGGAUUCAUUCAAACUGUUAAUACCUUCCCAUGUCACUGCUCUUGACUGUUCUUCCACAUUUGCAGAAUACAAAUAGUGUUCAUUGUCAGAUGAACACUCUCCACAAAUCAUCUCCAUGUCAACAUCUUUUUGUGAUUGUUCUUCAAGUGGAAGAUCAAGUGAUUGUACUUCAGCUGGUGGAUUACUCUCCUUGUGGCAGUACCAACGAUGUUUCGUCCAGCAUUAAAUUACUGCAGAAGAAGAAUACCGCCAACGUGACGCGGAUAUUAUAUCUUAAUGGAGGAAUAAACCUGAAACAGCACUUCCAAGAACUUCUUGAUUGUCGUUUAUGGAUUCCUCAUGAAAUUUGGGAUUGUCGGUUUGGAUGGACCAGGAGUUGGUGUCACUGGAAAAACUCUCAUGGUGGCCCGCUGAUGACUGAGGAUAGAUGUGCCUUGCUGCUUUUCGAAAAGGACUUCUGUCCUGAUGUUUGGCUGUGGUCCCCCCAUCAUCCACUCUUUGGCAACAAGUCUUUGUAUGCAGACCACCAUGAUCUAAUCUAUACAGACCUAGUUGUCUCUUCUCCCACAAACUCCACUUUCAGGAGUACCUUUUACAAAGGUGUCACCAUGAGCUCCCGACCUCCUGACCUCUCCGUGGCUGAGCUGUAUUAGGACUUUGUCAGAACUACAUCUUUUUUGGUCACCACAAUCUGGAUGUGUUCAGUGAGGAUUCAUCGGUGGAUUUCACCUUUGGAAAAGUUUAGGCUGGGAGUGUGUUGUCAUACCAGCAGAAACAAGCUGCAUCAUUACUCACAUCAAGAUGUCCCAUCACCACCACAUCUACCACUUAUUGGUUACAGCCUUGGCACAUCUGUCUGCUUGUUUGUCCAUAGUGAACAUAGUUUUUUAUUUGUAUGUAACCAACACACUUGUACAGGAAAUCUUUAACACCUAAUUAAAGUACUUAUACAUGUUUACACGUUUACAUUAUUAUAGUGCAGGUAACAAAAUAAUUAAAUUUACAUUAUCUACAUUUAUAAAUAAAUGUAUCCAUUUACAAUUUCUAUACUAAAUAUUAUUUUAAUUAAUAUAUUCAGGUGUUCUGUUGUAUUUUUGUAAAGAUUGUGAGUAGCCAAGGGUAUAAAGGGAAUAAAAAAGUGGCGGGACUGUACAAAUCCCAGUAAUCCCAAUCCCAAAUUAAAUGAUUUGUUUCUAUUUCUGGCAUAGUCCAAUUUUUAGUAUAGUUCCAUAGUCCCAUAGGCAUAGUCCCAUAUUUCAAUUUAAAAUAACUGUUUUCUAUGUGAAUAUAUUUUAAAUAUUAUAGCAGUCUAAUAAUAAAAUAAAAGUAGUCUUAAUAAUAAAAAUCAGAAACACUUAUAAUAAAAACGGGAGAGAGAGAGUUAUCUGAGACCAGGGGACCACGUCGCUACAACGUUCCCCAUGGGACCAACUAGCGACGUCUGUUGAGGACAUGCCCACAACGUUUCUGGGACGUUUGCAAACAUUCUAAAAAAAAAAAGUUUAUUUCUUAUAUGGGUAGAUAGAUGUUUGAGUAUUUCGUUACGGGUUUAAAAUGACAAUAGUAUUUAUAAUGUUUACAGUAUACAUUUUGUCAUUUGGAUGUUAUCUUUGUUAUCACUGAUGGACACUUUAGCUAAAGGUAACUUUACCCUUAAAAUUUGCUUUUCACUAAUUCUAUAGUGACUGCAGAAAAAUAGAUAAACAUACAUCCAUAAAUAGCUGUACUAAAGACCAGGGGACCACGUCGCUACAACGUCCUCCAUGGAACUAACUAGCGACGUCUUUUGAGGACGUGCCCACGACGUUUCUGAGACGUUAGCCAAGAUUCUAAAAAAUGGAACUUUACCUCGACGUCCUCACAACGUCGCCAUAAAGUAAUGUCGCGCUAACCAAAUGACGACGAACUGGCGACGUCCUCACAACGUUCUGUGUUUGCUGGGAAGUGCGCUGCGCGCAUAUCAGAAACCAUCUUAACUUGCGUAUUUGCAACUUGCGUAUUUGCCUAAAUGAAUUCUGCCCCACUGCUUAAUGUCUCUGAUCAGUUAAAUUAGUUUUUAAACCACAAUGCUUAAAAUGCGUUUAAAUUAAAAGCUUAUAUCCAUGACGUGCUUAUAUCAUUUACAGCGAUAUCGUUGACUUGAUUGAAAAUUAUUGCAGAGAUACUAUUUAAACUGAACUGAGCUGCAUGAUGACAUCACUGAAUUCA